CUGUUUUACAUUGGUUUUAAUCCAAGGGAUAUUUUGAUAUGUCUAUAGACAUUUUUAGUUCUCACAGCUGGUAAGAGGGCUGCUACUAGCAUCUAAUUGGGUUAGAAACUAAGUAUUCCGUCAAACAUUCUAAAAUGCAUAUGAUAGUCUCCACAACAGAGAAUUAUCAGGUCCCAAAUGUAAGUAGUGCCAAGAUUCUGAAACCUUGUUUUAAAUAUUUAGCAAACAUUAAUUCUUUUAACCUUUAUAGCAACCCUGUGAAAGCUCGUAUUGCAAGUGAGGAAUGUGACUUGCCCAAAGUCAGGUAUCUAAGAGAAAGUGUAGGUGAAAGGACAACAGGAUGCUAUUAUGGAAAUGCAGGCAUUAAAGACAGGAGUUAUUACAUUAAAACUAGUCUAAGUAAAAUUGAAGAUAAAAUUAUUUUCAGAGAGACUGAGUCUUUUUAAUGGAAAUGUAUAAUUUAUGAUGGAAAUAUUUUAGUUAUGAAACUUUAAACGGUAAUAAUAACAUGAAGCAAAACAAAUAUGUAAAUAACAAUUGAAAUGCAAUAGUUUUUUAAAAAUGUCUUAAUGGGAGGGGGGAUAGUAGAGGAUAGGAAAGGUAGCAGAACAUGACAGUCACAAGUAUGGCAAUAUGUAAAUCAAUGGAUGUGUAAUUGAUGUGAUUCUGCAAUCUGUAUAUGGGCUAAAAAUGGGAGUUCAUAACCCACUUGAAGCAAAGUGUGAAAGAUGAUAUAUCAAGAACUAUGUAAUGUUUUGAACAACCAACAAUAAAAAAAAAUAAAAAUAAAAAUGUCUUAAUGAAGUAUAACCAACAUACAAUAAAUUGCACUAACUUCAAGUGUAGAAGUGAUAAAUUUUGAUAUGUCUAUACCUAUGUGAUUAUUGCCACAGUCAAGAUAAUCAAUAUGUCCAUGCCUCCAGAAGAGUCUUCAUACAUAUUUAUAAUUCCUCCUUCUAUUAAGCCUCCUGUCCUUCUUGGUCAACCUACUGCACUAUAGAUGACUUUGCAUUUUCUGAAGUUUUUACAUGAUGAAAUUAUAUGUAUAUAUGCACUCUUUGUUUUGCUUAUCUCCCUUCACACCCAUAUUUUGUAAGUCAUCCAUGUUGCAAGUGUCAAUAAUUCAUUCCUUUUUAUUGCUAAGUAGUGUUCCAUCAUAUAGAUAUACCACAAUUUGUUUAUCCAUUCCCCUUUUGGUGGAUAUUUGGGUUGUUUCCAGUUAGAGACUAUUUAUAAAUAAAGAUGCUACAUACAUUCAUGAAUAAAUCUUUGUAUGGACAUAUAAUUUUGUUUCUUUUGGUAAAAUACCUAGGAAUUAAAGGGCUGGGUCAUAU
This 1334-nucleotide long non-coding RNA is filed under the name Marmota monax (woodchuck). Lineage: Eukaryota; Metazoa; Chordata; Mammalia; Rodentia; Sciuridae. The record is from RNAcentral.